AGUCGUCUUAAGUAUGCCGGGAGCAUCCGCGGACAGGCUGAGGUAGUCUUUGGACAGAAACAAACUUCGGAAAGCUGUAUUGUCCUGAGAGUUUUCGUCACUGGAAAUGACAAAUGAAGUUUGUUGGUAUUGUGACGCUAAUCUUCUACUUUACAAGGACCUCAAGAACCUGAUAACAACCAGAAUUUGUGUAAUGGUUUUACAGGGACUGUCCCACUGAUUCUCAACACAGUGGUUUUAAGUAGCAUCAUCAUCUGUAAUCCCAUCUGAACCGAUGUGUAGAAUUUGAGAGACUGAAGGAGAGAAUCAAAGAAUAAUCCCGGAGAAGGAGCCCGAGUCGCCUUGCCCUAGGGACUGGGAGACACCUGCGCAGACAUCAGAUGCAGCGUGUUAGUGCUGCUGGGUGAGGGGAAGGUGAAGAGGAAGAAGAGUGGAUCAAAGGGCCAGAAGAGGACACCAGAUCUCAUUACAGAUGGUUGUGAGCCACCAUGUGAUUGUUGGAAAUUGAACUCAGGACCUCUGGAAGACCAGCUGGUGUUUUUAACCAUUAAGCCACCUCUCCAACCCCUCUAUUGAACUUUAAAUCCACUCCUCCCUCUGGAGCCUCAGCCAUUCUCUUUGAAGAUGUAUCUGAUCAUUGUCUUUGGAACAAAGAACCAUAUAUAACACAGUGUGUGGGUUUGAAUGAGGUUUCUACCGUCCAGGAAAGGGUUGGUUUUGCAUCUAGCAAGCCAUUGUUGAAAUGGCUUGCAUUUUAAACUUGUGGGCCCCAGAAAGCCUUCCAAGAGUGCCUUAUCCUGAACUGCCACUGCUAACAGGAAGCUCUCUCCUAUUUGUCUUCUAGUUUCUUGUACAUAAAAACCUGCUACUCACCUGAGGCAUCUCUUGUAAUGGGUCAGGUGCCCCUGGAGGAAAGCAGCAGCCCUCUGAAAUUCUCUUCUCUCUGGGACCUUUGUCUCUCACCUCCAGGCUGAUGCCUUAGUGGGUGAUGUGUGUUUAAUGUUGCUAUGUUUACUCAGUGAGAGAGAGUCUGCAAAAGAAGUCCCACCUUUGUUUCUUAAAUAUGUGUUCUGAUGUCCCUGAAGGGACAAAGGGAGCCUUAAGUCACACGUACAGACACACUUCCUCAUGCAGCCUUUGUAUGUUUAGAAGACAAAUGUGUCACAGAGACCCAUGUGUCUAAGGUGUGUCUAGCUUGGCACUAUUGGUAGGCUGUGGAACUUUAACUGGUGGGUCCUUAGCAGGAAGCCCUUAGGACUUUGGUGACAUACCCUUAAAGGGAACUGUGGGGCCUGUCCUCCUCCUCCUCUUCCUUCCUGGACAUGAGGUGAAUGGUUUCAUUUCUCACACACUCCAGCCAUCAUAUGUCAUUCUGUGGACUAGAAAUUCUGUGAGGCAAAACAAACCCUUUCUUUUUGUAAGUGGAUUAAUUACAGGGACAGAGGUUGACUGAAGGGCUUGUUUCUUCUGGAAUCGGGCUUUGUAAACAUCCUGGUGCUGUCAUUUCCCAGCCUUGUGAUCCUGGCAAAGCCUCUUCCUGGGUCUCGGUUCUCAUGUUACUUCCCUUGAUGGGCUGAAUAAGCUAAUAUAUGCCUAGUGCUAAAAGCAGUGCUCCGCACAUGUGGAGGCCCGCAGAGGCAGAUCCGUACUAUUGACUCAAGGUCAGAGUUCAAACUUUUUCUGGCUCCUUCAAGGUUAAACAACAGGAUGUUUGGCCUAAGGUGAGGCUAUUGGACGUCUUGACUCUCAAGACCAAAUUAUAAGGAUGUUCGACUUAGGGCGUGGUGACCAGGUGUUUCAGGUAUUGGGAAGGUAAUUUCGUUUGUUCUUUGUAUCAUGGAAGUCUUUUGCCCUCCCCUUUUGCUUGGGGUAUAUAAGGGUGAUGAGUAAUAAACUUGGGGCCUUGUAAAAGUAUUCGAUGAGUGCCCUCCCAACUCUA
Cricetulus griseus (Chinese hamster) is the source of this 1939-nucleotide non-coding RNA. The record is from RefSeq and is a predicted model, not a curated record. NCBI's taxonomy places the organism in Eukaryota, Metazoa, Chordata, Mammalia, Rodentia, Cricetidae.